This 103-nucleotide ribosomal RNA is filed under the name uncultured bacterium. RNAcentral describes it as "partial 16S ribosomal RNA". It matches the Rfam family "Bacterial small subunit ribosomal RNA", at positions 1379 to 1481 of the family's 1533-position model. The record is from RNAcentral.
CCUUGUACACACCGCCCGUCACACCAUGGGAGCGGGUUCUGCCAGAAGUAGUUAGCCUAACCGCAAGGAGGGCGAUUACCACGGCAGGGUUCGUGACUGGGGU